This 431-nucleotide ribosomal RNA is filed under the name uncultured bacterium. Its description in RNAcentral is "partial 16S ribosomal RNA". It matches the Rfam family "Bacterial small subunit ribosomal RNA", at positions 29 to 507 of the family's 1533-position model. The record is from RNAcentral.
AACGAACGCUGGCGGCAGGCUUAACACAUGCAAGUCGAGCGCCCCGCCAGGGGCGCGGCAGACGGGUGAGUAACGCGUGGGAACGUACCUUUUGGUUCGGAACAACUCCGGGAAACUGGAGCUAAUACCGGAUAAGCCCUAACGGGGAAAGAUUUAUCGCCGAAAGAUCGGCCCGCGUCUGAUUAGCUAGUUGGUGAGGUAACGGCUCACCAAGGCGACGAUCAGUAGCUGGUCUGAGAGGAUGAUCAGCCACACUGGGACUGAGACACGGCCCAGACUCCUACGGGAAGCAGCAGUGGGGAAUAUUGGACAAUGGGCGCAAGCCUGAUCCAGCCAUGCCGCGUGAGUGAUGAAGGCCUUAGGGUUGUAAAGCUCUUUUGUCCGGGAAGAUAAUGACUGUACCGGAAGAAUAAGCCCCGGCUAACUUCGUG